RNAcentral lists this ribosomal RNA (253 nucleotides) under uncultured bacterium. Its description in RNAcentral is "partial 16S ribosomal RNA". It matches the Rfam family "Bacterial small subunit ribosomal RNA", at positions 524 to 776 of the family's 1533-position model. The record is from RNAcentral. RNAcentral also lists the same sequence under 1 other name.
UACGUAGGGUGCAAGCGUUAAUCGGAAUUACUGGGCGUAAAGCGUGCGCAGGCGGUUAUGCAAGACAGAUGUGAAAUCCCCGGGCUUAACCUGGGAACUGCAUUUGUGACUGCAUAGCUGGAGUACGGUAGAGGGGGAUGGAAUUCCGCGUGUAGCAGUGAAAUGCGUAGAUAUGCGGAGGAACACCGAUGGCGAAGGCAGUCCCCUGGACCUGUACUGACGCUCAUGCACGAAAGCGUGGGGAGCAAACAGG